UUGACCUCGGAUCAGGUAGGGAUACCCGCUGAACUUAAGCAUAUCAAUAAGCGGAGGAAAAGAAACCAACAGGGAUUGCCUCAGUAACGGCGAGUGAAGCGGCAAAAGCUCAAAUUUUAAAGCUGACAUCUUCGGUGUCCGCGUUGUAAUUUUGUGAGGCAUCUCCGGGUAGGGCGCUGGCCUAAGUUCCUUGGAACAGGACGUCACAGAGGGUGAGAAUCCCGUGCUUGGCUGGCUGUCCCCGUCCAUGUGAGGUGUCUUCGACGAGUCGAGUUGUUUGGGAAUGCAGCUCAAAAUGGGUGGUAAAUUUCAUCUAAAGCUAAAUAUUGGUGGGAGACCGAUAGCGCACAAGUAGAGUGAUCGAAAGAUGAAAAGCACUUUGAAAAUAGAGUUAAAAAGUACGUGAAAUUGUUGAAAGGGAAGCGCUUGAGACCAGACUUCGGUAAGGGGUGAUCAGCCGUCCUUUUGGGCGGUGCACUUGCCCCCCUCCGGGCCAGCAUCGGUUGAGGCGGCGGGAUAAAGGUCCCGGGAAUGUGGCUCCUUCACGGGAGUGUUAUAGCCCGGGUGAAUGCCGCCAGCUUCGACCGAGGACCGCACCCGCAAGGGUUAGGAUGCUUGGCAUAAUGGUCUUCAGCGACCCGUCUU
Molecule: ribosomal RNA, 645 nt
Filed under: Morchella purpurascens
Lineage: Eukaryota; Fungi; Ascomycota; Pezizomycetes; Pezizales; Morchellaceae
Description: partial 28S ribosomal RNA
Rfam family: Eukaryotic large subunit ribosomal RNA
Source: RNAcentral